Molecule: ribosomal RNA, 59 nt
Filed under: Pectobacterium betavasculorum
Lineage: Bacteria; Pseudomonadati; Pseudomonadota; Gammaproteobacteria; Enterobacterales; Pectobacteriaceae
Description: partial 16S ribosomal RNA
Source: RNAcentral
CUUAAAUUGAAGAGUUUGAUCAUGGCUCAGAUUGAACGCUGGCGGCAGGCCUAACACAU